This 77-nucleotide transfer RNA is filed under the name Ruminococcus sp. RNAcentral's name for it is "tRNA-Met". It matches the Rfam family "tRNA". From Rfam's summary of the family: Transfer RNA (tRNA) molecules are approximately 80 nucleotides in length. Lineage: Bacteria; Bacillati; Bacillota; Clostridia; Eubacteriales; Oscillospiraceae. The record is from RNAcentral. RNAcentral also lists the same sequence under 3 other names.
GGCGAUGUAGCUCAGCUGGCUAGAGCGACCGGUUCAUACCCGGUAGGUCGGGGGUUCGAUCCCCUCCGUCGCUACCA